UACGUAGGGUCCGAGCGUUGUCCGGAUUUAUUGGGCGUAAAGAGCUCGUAGGCGGUUCCGUAAGUCGGUUGUGAAAUCUCCGGGCUUAACCCGGAAAGGUCAAUCGAUACUGCAGGGCUAGAGUGCAGAAGGGGCAACUGGAAUUCUCGGUGUAGCGGUGAAAUGCGUAGAUAUCGAGAGGAACACCUGCGGCGAAGGCGGGUUGCUGGGCUGACACUGACGCUGAAGCGCGAAAGCUAGGGGAGCGAACGGG
Molecule: ribosomal RNA, 253 nt
Filed under: uncultured bacterium
Lineage: Bacteria
Description: partial 16S ribosomal RNA
Rfam family: Bacterial small subunit ribosomal RNA
Source: RNAcentral